GAUGAAGAACGUAGCGAAAUGCGAUAAGUAAUGUGAAUUGCAGAAUUCAGUGAAUCAUCGAAUCUUUGAACGCACAUUGCGCCCGUCAGUAUUCUGGCGGGCAUGACUGUUCGAGCGUCAUUACGCCCCUCAAGUCCCCUGUGGACUUGGUGUUGGGGAUCGGCGAGGCUGGUUUUCCAGCACAGCCGUCCCUUAAAUUAAUUGGCGGUCUCGCCGUGGCCCUCCUCUGCGCAGUAGUAAAACACUCGCAACAGGAGCCCGGCGCGGUCCACUGCCGUAAAACCCCCCAACUUUUUAUAGUUGACCUCGAAUCAGGUAGGACUACCCGCUGAACUUAAGCAUAUCAAUAAGCGGAGGA
Molecule: unclassified non-coding RNA, 358 nt
Filed under: soil metagenome
Description: partial contains 5.8S ribosomal RNA, internal transcribed spacer 2, and large subunit ribosomal RNA
Rfam family: 5.8S ribosomal RNA (bases 1-120)
Source: RNAcentral